Molecule: RNase P RNA, 367 nt
Filed under: delta proteobacterium ML8_D
Lineage: Bacteria; Deltaproteobacteria
Description: bacterial RNase P
Rfam family: Bacterial RNase P class A
About the family: Ribonuclease P (RNase P) is a ubiquitous endoribonuclease, found in archaea, bacteria and eukarya as well as chloroplasts and mitochondria. Its best characterised activity is the generation of mature 5'-ends of tRNAs by cleaving the 5'-leader elements of precursor-tRNAs.
Source: RNAcentral
GGAGACAGCCGGUGAUCGCCAGGUAAUUUUUUUUCUAUCUGGAGGAAAGUCCGGGCUCCACAGGGCAGGGUGGUCCGUAACGCGGACCGGGGGCGACCCCAGGGAAAGUGCCACAGAAAAUAUACCGCCAGUUCUUUAGCUGGUAAGGGUGAAAUGGUGAGGUAAGAGCUCACCAGAUGCAGCGGUGACGUUGCAUGCUUGGUAAACCCCACCCGUAGCAAAACCAAAUAGAGGAGCGCUAGAGAGUGGCCCGCUCGAAGCUCCCGGGUAGGUUGCGUGAGGUGUCGAGCAAUCGACAUCCCAGAUGAAUGAUCACCACCUUGGUAAUACAAGGGGACAGAACCCGGCUUAUGACUGGUCUCCACCG